GCUGCGGUAGCUCAGUGGUAGAGCGGAGGAUUGCAGUCAGUCCAAAAUCCUCAGGUCCUGUGUUCGAACCACAGUCGCAGCU
RNAcentral lists this transfer RNA (82 nucleotides) under Blumeria graminis f. sp. tritici. It matches the Rfam family "tRNA". From Rfam's summary of the family: Transfer RNA (tRNA) molecules are approximately 80 nucleotides in length. Their secondary structure includes four short double-helical elements and three loops (D, anti-codon, and T loops). RNAcentral also lists the same sequence under 1 other name. The record is from Rfam by way of RNAcentral. Lineage: Eukaryota; Fungi; Ascomycota; Leotiomycetes; Helotiales; Erysiphaceae.